Molecule: ribosomal RNA, 521 nt
Filed under: uncultured bacterium
Lineage: Bacteria
Description: bacterial SSU rRNA
Rfam family: Bacterial small subunit ribosomal RNA
Source: RNAcentral
CCAGAGAACUUAGCAGAGAUGCUUUGGUGCCUUCGGGAACUCUGAGACAGGUGCUGCAUGGCUGUCGUCAGCUCGUGUUGUGAAAUGUUGGGUUAAGUCCCGCAACGAGCGCAACCCUUAUCCUUUGUUGCCAGCGGUUAGGCCGGGAACUCAAAGGAGACUGCCAGUGAUAAACUGGAGGAAGGUGGGGAUGACGUCAAGUCAUCAUGGCCCUUACGAGUAGGGCUACACACGUGCUACAAUGGCGCAUACAAAGAGAAGCGACCUCGCGAGAGCAAGCGGACCUCAUAAAGUGCGUCGUAGUCCGGAUUGGAGUCUGCAACCCGACUCCAUGAAGUCGGAAUCGCUAGUAAUCGUGGAUCAGAAUGCCACGGUGAAUACGUUCCCGGGCCUUGUACACACCGCCCGUCACACCAUGGGAGUGGGUUGCAAAAGAAGUAGGUAGCUUAACCUUCGGGAGGGCGCUUACCACUUUGUGAUUCAUGACUGGGGUGAAGUCGUAACAAGGUAAGCGUAGUGCU